This 54-nucleotide ribosomal RNA is filed under the name uncultured fungus. RNAcentral's name for it is "18S ribosomal RNA". Lineage: Eukaryota; Fungi. The record is from RNAcentral.
ACCCGGGGAUCCUCUAGAGAUUCGUAGGUGAACCUGCGGAAGGAUCAUUACUGA